ACGGGUGAGUAACACGUGGGUAACCUGCCUGUAAGACUGGGAUAACUCCGGGAAACCGGGGCUAAUACCGGAUAACACCUACCCCCGCAUGGGGGAAGGUUGAAAGGUGGCUUCGGCUAUCACUUACAGAUGGACCCGCGGCGCAUUAGCUAGUUGGUGAGGUAAUGGCUCACCAAGGCGACGAUGCGUAGCCGACCUGAGAGGGUGAUCGGCCACACUGGGACUGAGACACGGCCCAGACUCCUACGGGAGGCAGCAGUAGGGAAUCUUCCGCAAUGGACGAAAGUCUGACGGAGCAACGCCGCGUGAGUGAAGAAGGUUUUCGGAUCGUAAAACUCUGUUGUUAGGGAAGAACAAGUGCCGUUCGAAUAGGGCGGCGCCUUGACGGUACCUAACCAGAAAGCCACGGCUAACUACGUGCCAGCAGCCGCGGUAAUACGUAGGUGGCAAGCGUUGUCCGGAAUUAUUGGGCGUAAAGCGCGCGCAGGUGGUUUCUUAAGUCUGAUGUGAAAGCCCACGGCUCAACCGUGGAGGGUCAUUGGAAACUGGGGAACUUGAGUGCAGAAGAGGAAAGUGGAAUUCC
This 583-nucleotide ribosomal RNA is filed under the name uncultured bacterium. RNAcentral describes it as "bacterial SSU rRNA". It matches the Rfam family "Bacterial small subunit ribosomal RNA", at positions 102 to 670 of the family's 1533-position model. The record is from RNAcentral.